AGAACUGCAGACCUGGGAGACAAGCUCACGUGCAGAAUCACAGGUGUGGAUCUUUGGAGGGCAGCGGCCCCUUCGGGCUCAUUGGGGAGCAGCGGUCGGUCCGCGCGCGCCUCCUGCCGGCCUCAUCCGGAACUGCGGCCCUUGCCCCUUGACGCCGGCGGGACCUCCCGCCUAGGACCCGCACUUGCUUGCUACCUGGGCGGAACUCGCUCCACUGCCUCACUUCGAACCCGGAAACCCUAAGAUGGCUCUGCUCAUGCUAAGACCCACCAGCUCCGUGUCGGAGAGGCUGCGGCUGGCCCGUGGGGAUCUCCCAGGACCCCUCCGCAGCAGACAUUUCCCGCCCCACCACGGCCAUCCUCCUCCAUGGGGCUCCCUCCUGUCCAGGACCCAGCAGUCUACAGCCCAGCUGGGACCUGUGACCCUGGUUCUGCCAGCUGUCCACCACCCCUCCUAGCUUCCACUGAACCCAGGCCCAUCCCUGGCAGCGCCACCCUCUCCUGCUGGGCCC
Long non-coding RNA from Bos taurus (domestic cattle), 511 nucleotides. The record is from Ensembl. Lineage: Eukaryota; Metazoa; Chordata; Mammalia; Artiodactyla; Bovidae.